Molecule: ribosomal RNA, 497 nt
Filed under: uncultured bacterium
Lineage: Bacteria
Description: partial 16S ribosomal RNA
Rfam family: Bacterial small subunit ribosomal RNA
Source: RNAcentral
GAUGAACGCUGGCGGCGUGCCUAAUACAUGCAAGUCGAGCGAACGGACGAGAAGCUUGCUUCUCUGAUGUUACCGGCGGACGGGUGAGUAACACGUGGAUAACCUACCUAUAAGACUGGGAUAACUUCGGGAAACCGGAGCUAAUACCGGAUAAUAUUUUGAACCGCAUGGUUCAAAAGUAAAAGACGGUCUUGCUGUCACUUAUAGAUGGAUCCGCGCUGCAUUAGCUAGUUGGUAAGGUAACGGCUUACCAAGGCAACGAUGCAUAGCCGACCUGAGAGGGUGAUCGGCCACACUGGAACUGAGACACGGUCCAGACUCCUACGGGAGGCAGCAGUAGGGAAUCUUCCGCAAAGGGCGAAAGCCUGACGGAGCAACGCCGCGUGAGUGAUGAAGGUCUUCGGAUCGUAAAACUCUGUUAUUAGGGAAGAACAUAUGUGUAAGUAACUGUGCACAUCCUGACGGUACCUAAUCAGAAAGCCACGGCUAACUACGUG